GCUGGGUGUGGUAGUGCACACCCGUAAUCCCAGUGACUUGGGAAGCUGAGGCAGGAGGAUUGCAAGUUCUAGGCCAGCCUCAGCAACUUAGUGAGGCCCUAAGCAACUUAGCAAGAUCUUGUCUCAA
Molecule: small RNA, 127 nt
Filed under: Marmota monax (woodchuck)
Lineage: Eukaryota; Metazoa; Chordata; Mammalia; Rodentia; Sciuridae
Source: RNAcentral